This 1680-nucleotide long non-coding RNA is filed under the name Marmota monax (woodchuck). Lineage: Eukaryota; Metazoa; Chordata; Mammalia; Rodentia; Sciuridae. The record is from RNAcentral.
UAAUUAAUGAUGACUAAUCUCUUAUAUGUAAAAUUAGGUUCUCUCUCUCUCUCUUUCCCUCUCUCUCUCUCUCUCUCUCUCUCUCUCUCACACACACACACACACACACACACACACACUCACACACAAAAAACUUUCCUUAAUUCCUCUGUGACUUCCCAAGUUAGAACUUCACACUGAAGACUAACUCUCCAGUUUUUCAUCCAAGUGAAAUUACCAAAAAGGAUACUUUCCAGGAAAAGAGUGGAAGGCUGACAAGCUAAACAGACUCUCCACCUUGUUCUCAUUGGUCUCAGAGAUUUUUAAGGAAAUAUUAACCUCUAAAUUCAAGAAAUAACAACUUAAGUCUAUAAAAAUGAAUUAAUUAACCCACAAUGUGUAAUUGUUAUUGUUAUUAAUAUCAUCAUUAUGACUUAUGGUGUUCAUUAUAGUUGGUAUUUUUGCCAAGAAGUAAACCAAAAUAAUACAUUAGGAUUGACACUGCACCAUGUAUGUGUGUGUCGAGUUUGAGUGAAUUUCGUUAAAAUAAAUGGUGGGAAGAAGGUGUGGAACUAAGAUAGUAUUCUACAGUAAUAGCAACAAAGAUUUAAUUUAAUAACUUGAUAAGCAAAAGAGGUAAUGCCUGAUAAUGCUGAAGAGGUAUUUUAAAAAGUUAUUUGUGAAUAAUUGUAUCCUUCAAGAUGAAUUAUGGGUCUCACCUUUAAUAAAUGUCAUUUUGGUUUAUCACCCAGUCCUUAUGAGAACAAAAAUUCUCAAUUUUUAGAAACAAUCAAAUAUUGCUAUUAAGAAUGUGUAAAUCUUCUGAGAUUUCAUCUUACUGUAGUCAGAAUGAUAAUUAUCAAGAAUAUAAAUAAUAAUAAAUGUUGGCAAGGAGGUAGGGGAAAAGAUAUACAUUGCUGGUGGGACUACAAAUUGGUGCAACUACUCUGGAAAGCAGUAUGGAGAUUUCUCAGAAAACUGGAAAUGGAACCAACAUUUGAUCCAGUUAUCCCUCUCAUCAGUAUAUACCCAAAGAAUCCACAGCAUACUACAGUGAUGCAUCCACAUCAAUGUUUAUAGCAGCUUAAUUCAUAAUAGCUAAGCUGUGGAACCAACCUAUGUGCUUUUCAACAGAUGAAUGGAUAAAGAAAAUGUUGUAUAUAUACACAAUGGAAUACUACUCAGCCAUAAAUAAAAAUGAAAUUGUAGCAUUUGCUGGUAGAUGGAUGGAACUGGAGACCAUCAUGCUAAGUGAAAUAAGCCAAUUCCAAAAAACCAAAGGAUAAAUGUUCUCUCCAGUAUGUGGAUGCUAACACACAAUUAGAGUGGGGGAGAGUACAAAAGAAUAGAAGUACUUUUGAUUAGACAAAGGGGAAUGAAGGGAAGGGAGAAAGGAUGGGAACAAGAAAGACAGUAGAAUGAAUUGGACAUUACUUUCCUAUGUUCAUAUAUGAAUAUAAGAACAAUGUACCUCCACAUUAUGUACGACCACAAGAAUGGGAAGUUAUACUCCAUGUAUAUAUAAUAUGUAAAAAUACACUCUACUGUAAUGUAUAACUAAAAAGAACAAAUAAAAAAAAGAAUGUGUAAUUUCUUCCAUAGAAGUACUUUGGCAUGCCUGUCUAUCUGCAUAAUGUAGAAGAUAUUUUUAUCUUUUUUUUUGUUGUUUUCAGACUAGUAAUAAAAUAUUUGAAACAUUCU